Molecule: long non-coding RNA, 1504 nt
Filed under: Homo sapiens (human)
Lineage: Eukaryota; Metazoa; Chordata; Mammalia; Primates; Hominidae
Description: MIR219A2 host gene (MIR219A2HG)
Rfam family: mir-219 microRNA precursor family (bases 807-885)
Source: RNAcentral
GUUGCAGCUGCCUGGCCAGCCCGAGAGACAGCGGAGAUUCAUUACCCGCCGACACAAUGACCAUUGAUGGCCCCGUGGCGUUAUUCAAAUCCAGUACCAAUUGCAGCCGAGCCCCUUUCUCCGCGCCAGGCCCGUAUUGUUGGAGCGGCCCACUAAAAGCCCGCCCCGGCCCCGAGCCGCCAGAGGCGCCUGCUCGGGUUCAGCCUUGCGCCUCGGCAGCCCGCCGGCUCCCAGUCCGGCUCCACGGGCGCUGCAGGUGACCCGGCGGCGCAUUCCAGCACUCCCCGCCGCCCGGGCCACCGCCGCCACCGCCACCGCAGGCGCCCCGGCCGCGACUCAGCCACAGGAAAGCGGAGAGCGCCCGAGCCGGUGCGUGCGCGGGGCUGGGCGGGGGCGGGGGACCCACGAAUCCAGCAGCCCGGACCCCGGGCUCGGAAACGCGACCCGGCCUGGGGCUCCUGCCUUCCGGAUUCCCGGAGAUCCCAGGCUGGGGGCAGGGAGAGGGGAGUCGGGGUUCCCCAGGCCAGACAGAGGAGAUUCCCCCUCGACCUGGGGCGGCGCUGAGACCCAACGCGGGCCACUCUGCGGACUCCGGGCCGCGAUCGAAGGAGCCACGCCAGGGGCGAUGGGGAUCCCCGCACAGGGUCAGGAUCCGCGUGCUUGCUAGUCCACCUUACCGCCGGAUGGGCAGCCGCUGCUGAGCGCCUGCUAGGUGGUCCGACGCGCAGCUCCGAGCUGUCCUGGACUGGCGCUUUUUAGGAGCGAAGGGGAACCCCGCAGGAGACCAGGGCCCUGAACUCAGGGGCUUCGCCACUGAUUGUCCAAACGCAAUUCUUGUACGAGUCUGCGGCCAACCGAGAAUUGUGGCUGGACAUCUGUGGCUGAGCUCCGGGCGCAACAGGGGCGGGGGCCCCAGGGACAGGGCUCAGCGCGGGCGAGACCUCUCGGGGCGGCGGCUGGCUGGCCCCAGCGCGAGGAUCGCGGUCCCGGCCCGCGCGCACAGAGACGCCGGUCCCUGCCACCAGCGCCGCCAUCCGCAUCCUCGUCCUUCUUCCUUCUCUGCGGGUGACCAGUCCCGGCCGGCAGGGUCCUUCAGUCGAUCGCGUCGUUUUUCCUCCUUUCAAAUUUCGGCCGGAACGAAGCCGGCACGCAGCGGCGGGGCCGAAUGUGGUCCGCCCUCAGCCCAAGCCGCAUGAAGUCGGGGGUGAAAGAAGAGGCCGGCCGAAUGCGCCCGCUAACUCGUUUCGCAGUUGUUCUAACUUAUCACCCCAAUACUCCCUACCUAAACAAAACAAAUCCUCAACCAACCCCUAAAUCCCAAACAAACCAACCCCUCCCGCAAGCCCCUCCGGACGGACCGAUGGGCUGAGCCUCCUCCAGCCGCUGCCAGGGUCCGACGGGCAAGCGUCACCAACGAUGCGCUCCAGCCCGGCAAUCUCCUCGGCUUUGGAAAUAGAAUUUGGAAAAACGAAUCCUUUUCAUUAAAGAAAAAUCUUCGGAGAUA